CAAUCACUUGUCUUUUAAAUGAAGACCUGUAUGAAUGGCAUCACGAGGGCUUAGCUGUCUCCUCUUCCAAGUCAAUGAAAUUGAUCUGCCCGUGCAGAAGCGGACAUAAACACAUAAGACGAGAAGACCCUAUGGAGCUUUAGACACCAGGCAGAUCACGUCAAGUAACCUUAAAUUAACAGGUAAAAACACAGUGACCCCUAGCCCCUAUGUCUUUGGUUGGGGCGACCGCGGGGGAAAACAAAGCCCCCAUGUGGACUGGGGGCACUGCCCCCACAACCAAGAGCCACAACUCUAAGUACCAGAAUUUCUGACCAAAAAUGAUCCGGCGAACGCCGAUCAACGGACCGAGUUACCCUAGGGAUAACAGCGCAAUCCUCUCCCAGAGUCCC
Molecule: ribosomal RNA, 392 nt
Filed under: Salmo trutta (river trout)
Lineage: Eukaryota; Metazoa; Chordata; Actinopteri; Salmoniformes; Salmonidae
Description: partial 16S ribosomal RNA
Rfam family: Bacterial large subunit ribosomal RNA
Source: RNAcentral